GAAAACAAAGAGAGUCUAGAACAGUUGUAAAAAGACAGUCUAGAACACACCUGCUGCUUAGAUAGCUUCUUCAAAGUUUUCUCCUUGAUAUCAAGCAGUACACAAUACUUCUUCGUUUGCAGAAACCUAUGACCAUGGAAUCACAAAGUGAGUAAAGCAUUCAUCCUUUUAUCAAAUCACUCGUCAAAUCACAAAUCAAGCACCAUUCAAAAUGAAAUAAAAGCAAGGGUUCCAGGUUCUCUUGUUGCACUAAGAACAAAACAAAAUUUUCAUUUAAACAUCAAUUUCACUAAUCUAAAUGUGAGUUAGAAACAAAACGCACAGAGAUAGAACCUAACCCAAAAAGCGUAUAAAUUACAAUCAGGUCAUGAGCUAUGGAACUGAGCCAUGAAGGAAACGGGUUUAAGAUUGAAGCCUUCGGUUAACUUUUCGCGACGCCUUGGAGAUUCAUCUGCAAUCGAAAUCAAAUUUAGUCAAAGGCAAGAAACAAAAGGGUGAAGCAGGUCGAAUCAGAUGUCAAGUAAACCAUCACCUGA
This 536-nucleotide long non-coding RNA is filed under the name Brassica napus (rape). Its description in RNAcentral is "long non-coding RNA (BNAP_LNC021483)". Lineage: Eukaryota; Viridiplantae; Streptophyta; Magnoliopsida; Brassicales; Brassicaceae. The record is from RNAcentral.